UACGUAGGGGGCAAGCGUUGUCCGGAUUUACUGGGCGUAAAGCGCGUGUAGGCGGCUACACAGGUCCGUUGUGAAAACUGAAGGCUUAACCUUCAGACGUCGACGGAAACCGUGUGGCUAGAGUCCGGAAGAGGAGAGUGGAAUUCCUGGUGUAGCGGUGAAAUGCGCAGAUAUCAGGAAGAACACCAAUGGCGAAGGCAGCUCUCUGGGACGGUACUGACGCUGAGACGCGAAAGCGUGGGGAGCGAACAGG
Molecule: ribosomal RNA, 253 nt
Filed under: uncultured Conexibacter sp.
Lineage: Bacteria; Bacillati; Actinomycetota; Thermoleophilia; Solirubrobacterales; Conexibacteraceae
Description: partial 16S ribosomal RNA
Rfam family: Bacterial small subunit ribosomal RNA
Source: RNAcentral